Molecule: ribosomal RNA, 464 nt
Filed under: uncultured bacterium
Lineage: Bacteria
Description: bacterial SSU rRNA
Rfam family: Bacterial small subunit ribosomal RNA
Source: RNAcentral
CCUACGGGUUGCAGCAGUGGGGAAUAUUGCACAAUGGGCGCAAGCCUGAUGCAGCCAUGCCGCGUGUAUGAGGAAGGCCUUAGGGUUGUAAAGUACUUUCAGUUGGGAGGAAGGCGUUGAUGCUAAUAUCAUCAACGAUUGACGUUACCAACAGAAGAAGCACCGGCUAACUCCGUGCCAGCAGCCGCGGUAAUACGGAGGGUGCAAGCGUUAAUCGGAAUUACUGGGCGUAAAGCGCACGCAGGCGGUUGAUUAAGUUAGAUGUGAAAUCCCCGGGCUUAACCUGGGAAUGGCAUCUAAGACUGGUCAGCUAGAGUCUUGUAGAGGGGGGGUAGAAUUCCAUGUGUAGCGGUGAAAUGCGUAGAGAUGUGGAGGAAUACCGGUGGCGAAGGCGGCCCCCUGGACAAGGACUGACGCUCAGGUGCGAAGGCGUGGGGAGCAAACAGGAUUAGAUACCCGUGUAG